Molecule: long non-coding RNA, 1467 nt
Filed under: Nicotiana benthamiana
Lineage: Eukaryota; Viridiplantae; Streptophyta; Magnoliopsida; Solanales; Solanaceae
Description: long non-coding RNA (NBEN_LNC005600)
Source: RNAcentral
UUAAUUUGGUUGAGAUACGAGAGAUAAAUUUUGUGUAAAUGCGUUUGGCUCCACAACUCUUUAUGUCAACAAUUUUUAAAUUUAUCUCAUUCAAAUCAUAAAAGUAGAGAAAUGAUUAUUGACAAUCACUGAUUAUGUACUUCAGUAAUCCCUACAACAUAACAUACGUGAUCUUUGGAACUCUUUCCACCCAGCAUAAUGUAUCAUGAUGGCAACUCUAUGUUCAUAGCUUUUGAUAUAUAUGCAAUAAUCUUAUAAAGGCUUGAACUGAAGACACAGUGAACUUCGAAGCCUGCAAAAAGAAAUUUAAUUAAAUUAUCCUAAAUCAUCAACUCAAACUAAAUAAAGCACUCCGUACACUUUUAAAAUUCUAAAUUGACCUGGCUAUCAAGACUCGCUUGGAAAUAUUUUUGUCUUGCUGGGAAUUUUUCUUGAAAAAAAUUGUUAGUUAUGGAGGGAAAUAAUAGAAAGAAAAUUAACAUAAUUAACUUCUCCGUACCAUUACUUUUUAAUUUUAUUGUCAGUUGUACAAAAAAAAUCAUUCCAUCUCAUAACCCAAUGCAAACCACAGAGUAAUGUGCAAAGGAUAAACUUAUCUUUAAUAUUGUAGCCAUUAAAUGCAACUUGAGAAAACCAUGACAGGAUUUCCAACAUCCUAAGUGUCUCGUUCUAACCUAGUAUAGAGGGAAACACAGUCACAUCUUAUCUGAUUCUGCUGGAAUGCAAAAAGUAAAAUUUAUUCAUUUUGCUUGCAGAAGAAAAUGCUAAUUCUAUUCUACCUUAUUUAUUCCUUCAUCCAAAACUGUUCAGCAAAAGCAUCUAUAAGACAGUAGGAGCAUUUUGGACAUCGGUAAGUAGCCAUGAAUACUUACUCAAGUCUGUCUUGAACUUCUCUUUGUUCAUCCAAUCCUAAAAGUUGACGAUCCACGUCAUUAUAUCUGCAGUUGUUGUUAAGUUUUAACAAAUAAUCCAGGAUUGCUUCAUCAUAAAUCAGGAUUGUUUUUCAUUAGAGAAACUAUAAGUUCCUCUUCAGAAUCAAACAAUUUUUGGACUAUAAGUCAUGGCUAUUUGCGUACACUAUAAUAUUCGCCAUGACUAAUCAUAAACUCAUCUGAUUGUUAUUUUCAUGCCCAGCUGGUCCAUUUCAGCUAAGCUACCAGAUUUGACUUCCUUUUCUGCAGAGUUCUUCAUUUAUUUUAUAUUAAUAAUUUUUCCCUGUUCUUCACGUGGAUCAACUUUUACAAACAUACUUUUACGUAUACCUAACAUCUAAGAGGUUAGUAAUGAAUCACAAAAUUUGAAAAUAUUUCAUGCUUCUUUUCUAAAGAGAUAACCUUUCAGCCUAUGGAGAAAAUAAUAGGUUAUCAGCUUGAAUUAUGGACUAAUAAUGAGUAAGUCUUAUAUCCUGUUGAGAUAUAGGCUAUGAUGAUACACUAAUUCUGAGCCUAAUAAUUGGUCAUUUCCUUA